GCAUCGAUGGUUCAGUGGUAGAAUAAUCGCCUGCCACGCGGGCGGCCCGGGUUCGAUUCCCGGUCGAUGCA
Molecule: non-coding RNA, 71 nt
Organism: Daphnia pulex (common water flea)
Lineage: Eukaryota; Metazoa; Arthropoda; Branchiopoda; Diplostraca; Daphniidae
Source: Rfam